This 1295-nucleotide long non-coding RNA is filed under the name Calidris pugnax (ruff). RNAcentral's name for it is "lncRNA (ENSCPUG00000019693.1)". The record is from RNAcentral. Lineage: Eukaryota; Metazoa; Chordata; Aves; Charadriiformes; Scolopacidae.
AAUGCCUCCAGGUUUUUGCUCCUCCAGCCGGACAGUAGCGCAGCGAAGCAGGGGGGCACGGCCGCUCCGGGUCCGGUGCCAGCUCCCGAAUCCCAGAGGGGCUAAAAAUACCCCGUCUGGAUGUUUGGAGCCCGGGGCAGGGGGGGGACAGGCACAUACCCCCCCCCGAACAGCACUUUCACAACCCCUGGCAGCGCUGCUGGUGCUCCCUCCAACCUUCUGCUGUUUAUCUUCCCAGGCUCCAAAGUCCUUAUUGAACAGCCCAGAUUGUUCUCCUGUUUAUUGGUACAGAGGGAAGGGGGGGAGGGUUUGGGGCAUAGGGUGGGGGGUCCCCGGGGGUCUCUCGAGCCCGCACAGCCCCUGUGCCAUGCGUUGUGAUGCGAGCGGGGCAGAGACCCGCCGCCGGGCAGGAGUGGCAUCACGCAAUUACAGUGUUGGGAGUAUUUAUAGCUCUUGGCCCCGCGCGUCGGAAAAUGCUUCCCAGACCACCCGGCAAAAUCUGCUCCUUGCAAGGGGCAUGGAAACACCACCCCCCCAACCUCCCCCCCCUUCCCAGCUCUGCUCUUCUCGCUUUUCCUUAUCGCCCUUCAGCCCCCCAAAAUGUGGCACCUCUCUGCCUCAGGCACAGGGGUGCUGGGACCCCCCCCCAGUGCAGCCUGGGGCUCUGCAGGGUUCUGGGACCCCCCCGUUGCAGCUCAGGGCUCUGCAGAGUGUCAGGACCCCCCCUUCUGCACUCAGGACCCUGCAGGAUGUCAAGACCCCCCCUGUUACAGCUCAGGGCUCUGCAGGGUUCUAGGACCCCCUGGUUGCAGCUCAGGACCCUGCAGGGUGUCAGGACCCCCUCAUUGCAGCUCAGGACCCUGCAGGGUGUCAGAACCCCCCGUUGCAGCUCAGGACCCUGCAGGGUGUCAAGACCCCCCCAGUACAGCUCAGGGCUCUGCAGAGUGUCAGGACCCCCCUUCCUGCAGCUCAGGACCCUGCAGGGUGUCAAGACCCCCCCAUUGCAGCUCAGGACCCUGCAGGGUGUCAAGACCCCCCGUUGCAGCUCAGGACCCUGCAGGGUGUCAAGACCCCCCCGUUGCAGCUCAGGGCUCUGCAGGGUGUCAAGACCCCCUCUCUCUGCACUCAGGACCCUGCAGGGUGUCAAGACCCCCCCGCUGCAGCUCAUGGCCCCACAGCCCCCUCCCGCAGCACACUUGGGGGGGCUUCUCCUUCCCCCCAGUGCCUCCCUAGUCCCCGGAGGAUGCUCGGUCCCGGCGUGGUGGCCGUGGCCUUCCCUUGAGGCUGUUGUCCUC